Long non-coding RNA from Bombina bombina (fire-bellied toad), 370 nucleotides. RefSeq lists it as uncharacterized. The record is from RefSeq and is a predicted model, not a curated record. Lineage: Eukaryota; Metazoa; Chordata; Amphibia; Anura; Bombinatoridae. The transcript has 5 exons.
GUCACUAUCCUCAACAGGACUUUCAUGAAGGCUUCCCUCCUUGGGGGUUAAGAUCUGAAGUUAGUCAAGAAUGGACUUCAAGUGAUGGAUGAAUUUGCUGUGUCCCUGCUAAGUUGCAGUCUCGGGCGUCCGAUAGGGGAAGAUCAUGGUGGUGCUAUAGCUUCAGAAGUGCCCAGUGUCUCAUACUGAGAAAAGCAGACCUGGGUGUUAAUGCAAUACAAAACAUGAGAUGUUAAAGCCGGAUGUAUGGCGUGAUUGAGAUUACAAGUCUAAUGGCAGUUUCUGUGCAUGUGUAACAAUCUACAUAUUUAUGUAAGUACUUAUGGUGUCUGCAUCAAUGUGUUGUGGAUAAUUGACUAGUAUAUCCCCU